Molecule: ribosomal RNA, 427 nt
Filed under: uncultured bacterium
Lineage: Bacteria
Description: partial 16S ribosomal RNA
Rfam family: Bacterial small subunit ribosomal RNA
Source: RNAcentral
GUGGGGAAUAUUGGGCAAUGGGGGAAACCCUGACCCAGCGACGCCGCGUGAGGGAAGAAGGCCUUAGGGUCGUAAACCUCUGUUGUGUGGGAAGAAGAGCGUGACGGUACCACACGAGGAAGUCCCGGCUAACUACGUGCCAGCAGCCGCGGUAAUACGUAGGGGACGAGCGUUGUCCGGAUUUACUGGGCGUAAAGGGCGCGUAGGCGGUCAUUUAAGUCAGGUGUGAAAUGGUUUGGCUUAACCGGAUCAUGCGGUUGAAACUGGAUGACUGGAGUGCUGGAGAGGCAAGUGGAAUUCCCAGUGUAGAGGUGAAAUGCGUAGAUAUUGGGAAGAACACCGGUGGCGAAGGCGACUUGCUGGCCAGCAACUGACGCUGAGGCGCGAAAGCCAGGGGAGCAAACGGGAUUAGAUACCCUAGUAGUCC